RNAcentral lists this ribosomal RNA (460 nucleotides) under uncultured bacterium. RNAcentral's name for it is "partial 16S ribosomal RNA". It matches the Rfam family "Bacterial small subunit ribosomal RNA", at positions 338 to 795 of the family's 1533-position model. The record is from RNAcentral.
CCUACGGGUGACAGCAGUGGGGAAUAUUGGUCAAUGGGCGAAAGUCUGAACCAGCCACGUCGCGUGAAGGAUGACUGCCCUCUGGGUUGUAAACUUCUUUUUUACGGACAUAAAACGUGACACUUCUGCCUGUUUGCAUGUACUUUAUGUAUAUGCAUCGGCUAACUCCGUGCCGGAGGCCGCGGUAAUACGGAGGAUCCGAGCGUUAUCCGGAUUUAUUGGGUUUAAAGGGAGCGUAGGUGGGUGGUCAAGUCAGUUGUGAAAGUUCGGGGCUCAACCCUGAGAUUGCAUUUGAAACUGGCAGUCUUGAGUACUGUAGAGGUAAGCGGAAUUCGGGGUGUAGCGGUGAAAUGCUUAGAUAUAACGAAGAACCCCGAUUGCGAAGGCAGCUUGCUGAACUGUAACUGACGCUGAGGCGCGAAAGCGUGGGUAUCAAACAGGAUUAGAUACCCUAGUAGUC